This 805-nucleotide long non-coding RNA is filed under the name Brassica napus (rape). RNAcentral describes it as "long non-coding RNA (BNAP_LNC019048)". Lineage: Eukaryota; Viridiplantae; Streptophyta; Magnoliopsida; Brassicales; Brassicaceae. The record is from RNAcentral.
GCUCCACGGAUUAUUGUUUUUUUGUUAUGUGGUAUAUAUUUUUACUUAUGUACACUACACACAACGAUCCUGUGUGAUGACAGCGACGGUUGGUGAUGCAAGCAUACAUUGAUUGAGGUUGAUGCGGAGAUAAGAUCUCAAAAAUUGUUUGUGGAGAUAUUUGAAGAGGGAAAGAAAUUUUCUUGUUGGCAAGAAAUAAGGUUUCUGUGUUUGGAAAAUGUUUUAGCGAAUUAUCCCCAUCGCUAGUUUCUUAUACUUGUGAGUGUGAGUGUUGCAUCUUUUAGGUUGCCUCUAGCAUUAUCCAAAAUGCAGCCGUUAAUUGUCUUCUUAGGUGUUUUGUAAUGUAAAAUUAGUGGCCUUUAAUAUACAAAUGCCUUCUUUGCCAAGUCAGUUUGAUGUCCAAUGUUAUUUAUGGGUUGGCCCAGUUAUUUUGAUAGAAGGGCGGAGUUCGAUAAUUUGGUUGGUUUACAUUUGCGAUUGGGUCGGGUUUGGGGCUUGAGCUGUAGAUUUGGUGAUGAUAUGAUUACUUUGUAGGCCUUUGUAGUUGGGUAAUAGGUUGCAGGUUACUAAGGGUAUGAAUGUUUUCCCACUACCACCCACAAACGCAGCUUUUGCGGUUAGUAGCGGUUAUUGGCUUUUGACAACAAUCGCUCAAACCGCUCCAAACCGUUUCAAACCGCUCUAAACCUCAUAAAUUCAAAAUUUGGUUUCAGCUAGCGUUUGCGGUUGUGGACGGCUGCGAGAGGAUAAUUUUUUUUCUUUUUUUAAAACAAUAUAAAUACAAAAAUAAAAAUAUUCAACAAAA